UGGGGAAUUUUGGACAAUGGGCGAAAGCCUGAUCCAGCAAUGCCGCGUGUGUGAAGAAGGCCUUCGGGUUGUAAAGCACUUUUGUCCGGAAAGAAAUCCUUGGCUCUAAUACAGUCGGGGGAUGACGGUACCGGAAGAAUAAGCACCGGCUAACUACGUGCCAGCAGCCGCGGUAAUACGUAGGGUGCAAGCGUUAAUCGGAAUUACUGGGCGUAAAGCGUGCGCAGGCGGUUUGCUAAGACCGAUGUGAAAUCCCCGGGCUCAACCUGGGAACUGCAUUGGUGACUGGCAGGCUAGAGUAUGGCAGAGGGGGGUAGAAUUCCACGUGUANCAGUGAAAUGCGUAGAGAUGUGGAGGAAUACCGAUGGCGAAGGCAGCCCCCUGGGCCAAUACUGACGCUCAUGCACG
This 408-nucleotide ribosomal RNA is filed under the name uncultured bacterium. RNAcentral's name for it is "partial 16S ribosomal RNA". It matches the Rfam family "Bacterial small subunit ribosomal RNA", at positions 355 to 755 of the family's 1533-position model. The record is from RNAcentral.